GGGAAUGUAGCUUAGUGGCAGAGCACUUGCCUAGCAUGUGUAAGGCCCUGGGUUCAAUUCUUAGCAUGUCCA
This 72-nucleotide transfer RNA is filed under the name Heterocephalus glaber (naked mole-rat). It matches the Rfam family "tRNA". Rfam says of the family: Transfer RNA (tRNA) molecules are approximately 80 nucleotides in length. Their secondary structure includes four short double-helical elements and three loops (D, anti-codon, and T loops). Lineage: Eukaryota; Metazoa; Chordata; Mammalia; Rodentia; Bathyergidae. The record is from Rfam by way of RNAcentral.